GACGAACGCUGGCGGCGUGCUUAACACAUGCAAGUCGAACGGUGAAGCGCCUUCCUUUUUGGUGGGUGUGGAUGAGUGGCGAACGGGUGAGUAACACGUGAGUAACCUGCCCCCUUCUUCUGGAUAACCGCAUGAAAGUGUGGCUAAUACGGGAUAUUCUGGGUCUGUCGCAUGAUGGGUCUGGGAAAGAUAUUGUUUCGGUGGGGGAUGGGCUCGCGGCCUAUCAGCUUGUUGGUGGGGUGAUGGCCUACCAAGGCGGUGACGGGUAGCCGGCCUGAGAGGGUGGACGGUCACACUGGGACUGAGACACGGCCCAGACUCCUACGGGAGGCAGCAGUGGGGAAUAGUGCACAAUGGGCGCAAGCCUGAUGCAGCGACGCCGCGUGAGGGAUGGAGGCCUUCGGGUUGUGAACCUCUUUCGCCAGUGAAGCAGGACUGCCUCGUUUGUGGGUGGGUUGACGGUAGCUGGAGAAGAAGCGCCGGCUAACUACGUG
RNAcentral lists this ribosomal RNA (494 nucleotides) under uncultured bacterium. RNAcentral describes it as "partial 16S ribosomal RNA". It matches the Rfam family "Bacterial small subunit ribosomal RNA", at positions 28 to 507 of the family's 1533-position model. The record is from RNAcentral.